Molecule: ribosomal RNA, 257 nt
Filed under: uncultured bacterium
Lineage: Bacteria
Description: partial 16S ribosomal RNA
Rfam family: Bacterial small subunit ribosomal RNA
Source: RNAcentral
CAGAGGGUGCAAGCGUUAAUCGGAAUUACUGGGCGUAAAGCGCGCGUAGGUGGUUUGUUAAGUUGGAUGUGAAAUCCCCGGGCGUCAACCUGGGAACGUGCAUUCAAAACUAGACUGACUAGAGUAUGGUAGGGGGUGGUGGAAUUUCCUGUGUAGCGGUGAAAUGCGUAGAUAUAGGAAGGAACACCAGUGGCGAAGGCGGCCACCUGGACUAAUACUGACACUGAGGUGCGAAAGCGUGGGGAGCAAACAGGAUU